AACGAGGCCGACCUGCGGCUGAGUUACCUGCGGAGGGAUCAUUACCGAGCGAGGGCCCCCCGGGCCCGACCUCCAACCCCAUGUUACCCGACCCCGUUGCCUCGGGGGCGACCCGGCCCUCUCCCGGCGCCGGGGCCCCCGGCGGACCGCCAACACUGCAUCGAUGCGUCGGAGUGAUGAGAAUGAAAUCAAUCAAAACUUUCAACAACGGAUCU
Molecule: unclassified non-coding RNA, 215 nt
Filed under: soil metagenome
Description: partial contains 5.8S ribosomal RNA, internal transcribed spacer 2, and large subunit ribosomal RNA
Source: RNAcentral